Molecule: ribosomal RNA, 541 nt
Filed under: uncultured Glomeromycotina
Lineage: Eukaryota; Fungi; Glomeromycota
Description: SSU rRNA
Rfam family: Eukaryotic small subunit ribosomal RNA
Source: RNAcentral
UUGGAGGGCAAGUCUGGUGCCAGCAGCCGCGAUAAUUCCAGCUCCAAUAGCGUAUAUUAAAGUUGUUGCAGUUAAAAAGCUCGUAGUUGAAUUUCGGGGUCAGUAGGUCGGUCGUGCCACUGGUAUGAACUGGUUUUACUGAUUCCUCCCUCUUGAAGAACUGUAAUGCCAUUAAUUUGGUGUUGCAGGGAAUCAGGACUGUUACUUUGAAAAAAUUAGAGUGUUUAAAGCAGGCUUUAGCUUGAAUACAUUAGCAUGGAAUAAUGAAAUAGGACGUUUGAUCCUAUUUUGUUGGUUUCUAGGAUUGACGUAAUGAUUAAUAGGGAUAGUUGGGGGCAUUAGUAUUCAAUUGUCAGAGGUGAAAUUCUUGGAUUUAUUGAAGACUAACUACUGCGAAAGCAUUUGCCAAGGAUGUUUUCAUUAAUUCAAGAACGAAAGUUAGGGGAUCGAAGACGAUCAGAUACCGUCGUAGUCUUAACCAUAAACUAUGCCGACUAGGGGAUCGGGAUGAUGUUAAUUUUUAAUGUACUCAUUCGGCGCC